This 255-nucleotide ribosomal RNA is filed under the name uncultured bacterium. Its description in RNAcentral is "partial 16S ribosomal RNA". It matches the Rfam family "Bacterial small subunit ribosomal RNA", at positions 795 to 1052 of the family's 1533-position model. The record is from RNAcentral.
CCACGCCGUAAACGAUGAGUGCCAGAUGUCGGGGGUCAAACCUCGGUAUCGCCGUUAACACAAUAAGCACUCCGCCUGGGGAGUACGCACGCAAGUGUGAAACUCAAAGGAAUUGACGGGGACCCGCACAAGCAGCGGAGCAUGUGGUUUAAUUCGAAGCAACGCGAAGAACCUUACCAGGACUUGACAUACUAGUGCCAGGUAUAGAGAUAUACCCUUAUCUUAGAUACACUAAUACAGGUGGUGCAUGGUUGU